UACGAAGGGUGCAAACGUUGCUCGGAAUUACUGGGCGUAAAGCGCACGUAGGCGGAUUUGUAAGUCAGGGGUGAAAUCCCGGGGCUCAACCUCGGAACUGCCUUUGAUACUGCAAAUCUCGAGUCCGGAAGAGGUGAGUGGAAUUCCUAGUGUAGAGGUGAAAUUCGUAGAUAUUAGGAAGAACACCAGUGGCGAAGGCGGCUCACUGGUCCGGUACUGACGCUGAGGUGCGAAAGCGUGGGGAGCAAACAGG
This 253-nucleotide ribosomal RNA is filed under the name uncultured bacterium. Its description in RNAcentral is "partial 16S ribosomal RNA". It matches the Rfam family "Bacterial small subunit ribosomal RNA", at positions 524 to 776 of the family's 1533-position model. The record is from RNAcentral.